RNAcentral lists this ribosomal RNA (1474 nucleotides) under metagenome. Its description in RNAcentral is "bacterial LSU rRNA". It matches the Rfam family "Bacterial large subunit ribosomal RNA", at positions 1471 to 2925 of the family's 2925-position model. The record is from RNAcentral.
CUUGGAGAAGGUUAGGUCUACCAGGCGUUGGUUGUCCUGGGGAAAGGAGGUAGGCGGUGAUCUUAGGCAAAUCCGGGAUCACUUACGCCGAGCACCGAGACGAGUCCUAUGAGGACGAAGUGACUAACACCACGCUUCCAGGAAAAGCCACUAAGCUUCAGCUUAAGAAAAACCGUACCGCAAACCGACACAGGUAGGCAGGGUGAGAAUCCCAAGGCGCUUGAGAGAACUCGGGUGAAGGAACUAGGCAAAAUGGCACCGUAACUUCGGGAGAAGGUGCGCCCUUUGGUGUGGUCACGUGCGUGACUGAGCAACGAAGGGCCGCAGUAACCUGGCCGCUGCGACUGUUUAUCAAAAACACAGCACUCUGCAAACACGAAAGUGGACGUAUAGGGUGUGACGCCUGCCCGGUGCUGGAAGGUUAAUUGAUGGGGUCAGCCGCAAGGCGAAGCUCUUGAUCGAAGCCCCAGUAAACGGCGGCCGUAACAAUAACGGUCCUAAGGUAGCGAAAUUCCUUGUCGGGUAAGUUCCGACCUGCACGAAUGGCGUAACGACAGCGGCGCUGUCUCCACCCGAGACUCAGUGAAAUUGAAAUCGCUGUGAAGAUGCAGCGUUCCCGCGGCAAGACGGAAAGACCCCGUGAACCUUUACUAUAGCUUUACACUGAACGUUGAGUUCUUCUGUGUAGGAUAGGUGGGAGGCUAUGAGACCAGGACGCUAGUUCUGGUGGAGCCAUCCUUGAAAUACCACCCUGAAGUGCUUGACGUUCUAACCUAGGCCCGUAAUCCGGGUCAGGGACCGUGUAUGGUGGGUAGUUUGACUGGGGCGGUCUCCUCCCAAAGAGUAACGGAGGAGCACGAAGGUACGCUUAGCGCGGUCGGACAUCGCGCACUGUGUGCAAAGGCAUAAGCGUGCUUGACUGCGAGAUCGACGGAUCAAGCAGGUACGAAAGUAGGUCUUAGUGAUCCGGUGGUUCUGUAUGGAAGGGCCAUCGCUCAACGGAUAAAAGGUACUCCGGGGAUAACAGGCUGAUACCGCCCAAGAGUUCAUAUCGACGGCGGUGUUUGGCACCUCGAUGUCGGCUCAUCACAUCCUGGGGCUGUAGCCGGUCCCAAGGGUAUGGCUGUUCGCCAUUUAAAGUGGUACGCGAGCUGGGUUCAGAACGUCGUGAGACAGUUCGGUCCCUAUCUGUCGUGGGCGUUGGAGAUUUGAGGGGGGCUGCUCCUAGUACGAGAGGACCGGAGUGGACGUUCCGCUGGUGUUCGGGUUGUCAUGCCCAUGGCAUUGCCCGGUAGCUACGAACGGAAGUGAUAACCGCUGAAAGCAUCUAAGCGGGAAGCACGCCCCAAGAUGAGAUCUCCCGAGAGCUUGACUCUCCUAAAGGCACCAUCAAGACUAGGUGGUUGAUAGGUCAGGUGUGGAAGCGCAGCAAUGCGUUGAGCUAACUGAUACUAAUGAGCCGUGAGGCUUGACC